Molecule: non-coding RNA, 97 nt
Organism: Podarcis lilfordi (Lilford's wall lizard)
Lineage: Eukaryota; Metazoa; Chordata; Lepidosauria; Squamata; Lacertidae
Source: the annotation of a GenBank genome assembly
AUAGCCACGCGUCACCUCUCUAGCCGGGAGAGGGUCACAGGGCUAUGGCUUCUUAGCCCCCGCGACCCUCUCCCGGCUGGAGAGGUGACGCGGCUAU